CCCACGUCACUGUGACACUGAUGGGCACUGCGCCAGGUGGCGGCUGCCAAGCUCCCAGGGUGACCAAGUGGCUCCGGCCCUGAAGUGUGGGGACGGAGGCGCUCACUACAGGAAGUCGUGCGCAGCAAUGACGCAGCACAGGUCCGACUGAAGCCGCAGAUGUCACGAAGGCUGAGAUGGUGCCCCAAACCCACAAGGAUGCCAGCGCCAACGGAGCCCCGGGAAGUGGUGGCAGCAGUGUGCAGCACAGUUGGGGCCAGUGCUGUGGUGCAGCAGGUUAAAGCCCCAGCCUGCGGCGCCAGCUUCCCAUAUGGGCACAGGUUCAAGUCCCGGCUGUUCCACUUCUGAUCCAGCUCUCUGCUGUGGCCUGGGAAAGCAGUGGCGGAUGGCCCAAGUCCUCGGGUCCCUGCACCUGUGUGAGAAGACCCAGAGGGGCUCUUGGCUCCUGGCUUCAGUUCGGUACAGCUCUGGCUGUUGCGGCUGAUUGGGAAGUGAACCAGCGGAUGGAGGACCUCUCUCUCUCUUUCUCCCUCUCUCUCUGCCUCUCCUUCUGUGUGUAACUGUCUUUCAAAUAAAAAUAAAUCUUUAAAAGAA
Long non-coding RNA from Oryctolagus cuniculus (rabbit), 594 nucleotides. RefSeq lists it as uncharacterized. The record is from RefSeq and is a predicted model, not a curated record. NCBI's taxonomy places the organism in Eukaryota, Metazoa, Chordata, Mammalia, Lagomorpha, Leporidae.